UACACUCCUGCGGGAGGCAGCAGUGGGGAAUUUUGGACAAUGGGCGAAAGCCUGAUCCAGCAAUGCCGCGUGAGUGAAGAAGGCCUUCGGGUUGUAAAGCUCUUUUGUCAGGGAAGAAACGGUGAAAGCUAAUAUCUUUUGCUAAUGACGGUACCUGAAGAAUAAGCACCGGCUAACUACGUGCCAGCAGCCGCGGUAAUACGUAGGGUGCAAGCGUUAAUCGGAAUUACUGGGCGUAAAGCGUGCGCAGGCGGUUUUGUAAGUCUGAUGUGAAAUCCCCGGGCUCAACCUGGGAAUUGCAUUGGAGACUGCAAGGCUAGAAUCUGGCAGAGGGGGGUAGAAUUCCACGUGUAGCAGUGAAAUGCGUAGAUAUGUGGAGGAACACCGAUGGCGAAGGCAGCCCCCUGGGUCAAGAUUGACGCUCAUGCACGAAAGCGUGGGGAGCAAACAGGAUUAGAUACCCGUGUAGUCC
RNAcentral lists this ribosomal RNA (472 nucleotides) under uncultured organism. RNAcentral describes it as "partial 16S ribosomal RNA". It matches the Rfam family "Bacterial small subunit ribosomal RNA", at positions 332 to 796 of the family's 1533-position model. The record is from RNAcentral.